RNAcentral lists this ribosomal RNA (492 nucleotides) under uncultured bacterium. RNAcentral's name for it is "partial 16S ribosomal RNA". It matches the Rfam family "Bacterial small subunit ribosomal RNA", at positions 29 to 507 of the family's 1533-position model. The record is from RNAcentral.
AGUGAACGCUGGCGGUAGGCCUAACACAUGCAAGUCGAACGGCAGCACAGUAAGAGCUUGCUCUUACGGGUGGCGAGUGGCGGACGGGUGAGGAAUACAUCGGAAUCUACUUUUUCGUGGGGGAUAACGUAGGGAAACUUACGCUAAUACCGCAUACGACCUACGGGUGAAAGCAGGGGAUCUUCGGACCUUGCGCGAUUGAAUGAGCCGAUGUCGGAUUAGCUAGUUGGCGGGGUAAAGGCCCACCAAGGCGACGAUCCGUAGCUGGUCUGAGAGGAUGAUCAGCCACACUGGAACUGAGACACGGUCCAGACUCCUACGGGAGGUAGCAGUGGGGAAUAUUGGACAAUGGGCGCAAGCCUGAUCCAGCAAUACCGCGUGGGUGAAGAAGGCCUUCGGGUUGUAAAGCCCUUUUGUUGGGAAAGAAAAGCAGCAGGUUAAUACCCCGCUGUUCUGACGGUACCCAAAGAAUAAGCACCGGCUAACUUCGUG